RNAcentral lists this ribosomal RNA (254 nucleotides) under uncultured bacterium. RNAcentral's name for it is "partial 16S ribosomal RNA". It matches the Rfam family "Bacterial small subunit ribosomal RNA", at positions 524 to 776 of the family's 1533-position model. The record is from RNAcentral.
UACGGAGGGGGCAAGCGUUACCCGGAUUGACUGGGUGUAAAGGGUCCGCAGGCGGUUAGAUGUGUUGGUUCUGAAAUCCUAUGGCUCAACCAGAGAAUUGGAACCAAUACUAUCUAACUUUGAGUCAGGGAGAGGAAGACGGAACUGCCGGUGUAGCGGUGAAAUGCGUAGAUAUCGGCAGGAACACCAUUGGCGAAGGCGGUCUUCUAUCCCUGAACUGACGCUCAGGGACGAAAGCGUGGGGAGCGAUCGGG